This 70-nucleotide transfer RNA is filed under the name Dipodomys ordii (Ord's kangaroo rat). It matches the Rfam family "tRNA". From Rfam's summary of the family: Transfer RNA (tRNA) molecules are approximately 80 nucleotides in length. Their secondary structure includes four short double-helical elements and three loops (D, anti-codon, and T loops). The record is from Rfam by way of RNAcentral. Lineage: Eukaryota; Metazoa; Chordata; Mammalia; Rodentia; Heteromyidae.
GGGAAUGUGGCUUAGUGGUAGAGUGCUUGUUUAGCAUGCAUGAAGCCUUGGGUUCAAGUCCUCAGUACCA